This 688-nucleotide ribosomal RNA is filed under the name Escherichia coli. Its description in RNAcentral is "partial 23S ribosomal RNA". It matches the Rfam family "Bacterial large subunit ribosomal RNA", at positions 612 to 1299 of the family's 2925-position model. Lineage: Bacteria; Pseudomonadati; Pseudomonadota; Gammaproteobacteria; Enterobacterales; Enterobacteriaceae. The record is from RNAcentral.
AUAAUGGGUCAGCGACUUAUAUUCUGUAGCAAGGUUAACCGAAUAGGGGAGCCGAAGGGAAACCGAGUCUUAACUGGGCGUUAAGUUGCAGGGUAUAGACCCGAAACCCGGUGAUCUAGCCAUGGGCAGGUUGAAGGUUGGGUAACACUAACUGGAGGACCGAACCGACUAAUGUUGAAAAAUUAGCGGAUGACUUGUGGCUGGGGGUGAAAGGCCAAUCAAACCGGGAGAUAGCUGGUUCUCCCCGAAAGCUAUUUAGGUAGCGCCUCGUGAAUUCAUCUCCGGGGGUAGAGCACUGUUUCGGCAAGGGGGUCAUCCCGACUUACCAACCCGAUGCAAACUGCGAAUACCGGAGAAUGUUAUCACGGGAGACACACGGCGGGUGCUAACGUCCGUCGUGAAGAGGGAAACAACCCAGACCGCCAGCUAAGGUCCCAAAGUCAUGGUUAAGUGGGAAACGAUGUGGGAAGGCCCAGACAGCCAGGAUGUUGGCUUAGAAGCAGCCAUCAUUUAAAGAAAGCGUAAUAGCUCACUGGUCGAGUCGGCCUGCGCGGAAGAUGUAACGGGGCUAAACCAUGCACCGAAGCUGCGGCAGCGACGCUGAUGCGUUGUUGGGUAGGGGAGCGUUCUGUAAGCCUGCGAAGGUGUGCUGUGAGGCAUGCUGGAGGUAUCAGAAGUGCGAAUGCUG